UGCUCAUGGAGAGAUCACAGUCACUGUGGUCUGAAGAAAACAUGUUGCCACACAGAAAGAACACAUGUCAGUUUUCUGGUAGUAAUGCCAGAUGAUAAACAGCUUCAAGUACCAGACUUAUACCGAGGAUCUGGGGGUACAGAAGUGGGUUAUUUGUGAUCACUGAGAAGUUUGAAAAAAAGGAGAUUAAUCACACAACUCCACUGCAGUAGAAUUGAAAAGUGUCUGUGGGUGGGCACAAUGAAUGACAGGUUUAUACUAUGAGGAACAGAAUGAAUCCAGGAGACAGAGACACUGCAUUGCCUUCCUUGAAUCAUCCAUCUACGGUGCCAUGUUACUCAGAAAUUAAUGUAAUUCCAUAAAUGAAUAAUGACGUAAAUGUCCUCUUAAUAAUUGUUAAUGCACAAGCAUAUUCUUAUUCUAAUAAUCAGAAAAAUUGA
Long non-coding RNA from Callithrix jacchus (white-tufted-ear marmoset), 440 nucleotides. RefSeq lists it as uncharacterized. NCBI's taxonomy places the organism in Eukaryota, Metazoa, Chordata, Mammalia, Primates, Cebidae. The record is from RefSeq and is a predicted model, not a curated record.